AACGUAGGAGGCGAGCGUUAUCCGGAUUUACUGGGCGUAAAGCGCGUGCAGGCGGUUAGGUAAGUUGUGCGUGAAAGCUCCCAGGCUCAACCGGGAGAGGACGUGCAAGACUGCCAGACUAGAAGUAGAGAGAGGCCAGUAGAAUUCCGGGUGUAGUGGUGAAAUGCGUAGAGAUCCGGAGGAAUACCAGAGGCGAAGGCGGCUGGCUGGCUCUAACUUGACGCUCAGACGCGAAAGCAUGGGGAGCGAACGGGAUUAGAAACCCCAGUAGUCC
This 274-nucleotide ribosomal RNA is filed under the name uncultured bacterium. Its description in RNAcentral is "partial 16S ribosomal RNA". It matches the Rfam family "Bacterial small subunit ribosomal RNA", at positions 524 to 796 of the family's 1533-position model. The record is from RNAcentral.